Molecule: transfer RNA, 58 nt
Filed under: Trichuris trichiura (human whipworm)
Lineage: Eukaryota; Metazoa; Nematoda; Enoplea; Trichinellida; Trichuridae
Also listed under: 1 other name
Description: tRNA-Asp
Source: RNAcentral
AAAGAUCUAGUUUAUUACUUUCAAAUAUUGGAUUGUCAGUCCAAAGAUUACUUCUUUA